Molecule: ribosomal RNA, 520 nt
Filed under: uncultured bacterium
Lineage: Bacteria
Description: bacterial SSU rRNA
Rfam family: Bacterial small subunit ribosomal RNA
Source: RNAcentral
GGGAAUCUACCCAGUUCUACGGAACAACAGUUGGAAACGACUGCUAAUACCGUAUACGCCCUACGGGGGAAAGAUUUAUCGGAAUUAGAUGAGCCCGCGUAAGAUUAGCUAGUUGGUGGGGUAAUGGCCUACCAAGGCGACGAUCUUUAGCUGGUCUGAGAGGAUGAUCAGCCACACUGGGACUGAGACACGGCCCAGACUCCUACGGGAGGCAGCAGUGGGGAAUAUUGGACAAUGGGCGCAAGCCUGAUCCAGCCAUGCCGCGUGAGUGAUGAAGGCCUUAGGGUUGUAAAGCUCUUUCACCGAUGAAGAUAAUGACGGUAGUCGGAGAAGAAGCCCCGGCUAACUUCGUGCCAGCAGCCGCGGUAAUACGAAGGGGGCUAGCGUUGUUCGGAUUUACUGGGCGUAAAGCGCACGUAGGCGGUUUGUUAAGUCAGGGGUGAAAUCCCGGAGCUCAACUCCGGAACUGCCUUUGAUACUGGCAAGCUAGAGUCCGGAAGAGGUAAGUGGAACUCCUAGU